AGUAAAACAGCUCAGUUGGUUAGAGCGUGGUGCUGACAACACCAAGGUUGCAGGUUUGAUCCUGUAUAUUUCUGCACUG
Non-coding RNA from Podarcis lilfordi (Lilford's wall lizard), 79 nucleotides. The record is from the annotation of a GenBank genome assembly. NCBI's taxonomy places the organism in Eukaryota, Metazoa, Chordata, Lepidosauria, Squamata, Lacertidae.